This 6614-nucleotide long non-coding RNA is filed under the name Populus trichocarpa (black cottonwood). RNAcentral's name for it is "long non-coding RNA (PTRI_LNC001647)". Lineage: Eukaryota; Viridiplantae; Streptophyta; Magnoliopsida; Malpighiales; Salicaceae. The record is from RNAcentral.
AACAUCUCUUGUAAUAAAAGAUUGUUCCCACAUGAUCACCAACCUUAUUCUAUCACAUAAAAUCUUUAUAACGAAGGAAGAAGACCCAAUAUGCAGCCAAAACUGACCCCAACAUUUCAACAUAGACAACUAGCUAGCUAGACAAGGUUAUGACAUGAGCAUAAGUAAUGCAAUUGUUUAAUUUGAUCAGAUCGACACCAUACUACUGACCAAAUGCUUAAAGCAAUAUCGACAUUCUAGAUGCUUUCACAUGAUUGUGCAUGACGAGGGAUUAUCUUCACAGACAUAUUCACAUCUGCACACAUAGUAACCGCUUCUUUGGCAACCACAGCCGCCGCCGCUGCCAGCCCAACUAUCAUACACUGGCCUUCCAUAAGCUUCAUAACAUGGGGGUGCUGGCCUAGCAUUGUCAUGAUAACACGGGCCUCCACUAAUCCCAUGGUAGCAUUCAGCACAACAUGUCCUUGGGUGGACUGGUUCCGGAGCUUUAGGUGGUGGUGGUCGUGUCGGGUUUGGAGCUGGGAUUGGGGCGGGUGCUGGCCUCCUAUAGUCAUGAUAACACGGGCCUCCACUAAUCCCAUGGUAGCAUUCAUCACAACAUGUCCUUGGGUGGACUGGUUCCGGAGCUUUAGGUGGUGGUGCCGGGUUUGGAGCUGGGAUUAGGAAGGGUGCUGGCCUCCUAUGGUCAUGAUAACAUGGGCCUCCACUAAUCCCAUGGUAGCAUUCAGCACAACAUGUCCUUCGGUGGACUGGUGCCGGUUUCUCUGGUUCUUUGGGUUUCUCUGGUUCUUUGGGUUUCUCCGGUUCUUUGGGUUUCUCUGGUUCUUUGGGCUUCUCCGGUUCUUUGGGAUUCUCCGGUUGCUUAGGCUUUUCAGGUUCUUUCGGCUUCUCCGGUUCUUUAGGUUUAGAUGGUGGUGCUUUGGGUUUCUCUGGAACCUUGAUCUCAAUGCUCUGGACAGCUUCACCUCCUUUACAGAUUAUCUUUUCCUUGAUCUUUUCAGGACUGCAACAUACCACAGUGAUGGUCACUGUGCCUGCCUUCUUGUCAUAUAUCUGGUUCUGAAUUUCUCUUGUUCACAAUCCACAAAAACAACUUAGCCACUUUCCUUUCAUCUUAAAACUGCUCAAACUAAGUUAUUAUACAUGGAGAAGGAGGCACUCACGAGGGAUUCUACACAGUACUUUCUUGAUUUUCUUGUGGCAUUUCUUACAUUCAAGGUCAACCUUGAUCACCAUUAUUGUGACUUUCUGCAAUACGAGCACAUAAAAACAAGGACAUUCUAAGCCAAGAAGAAUAUUGAAAGGACUGGAACACUUUCUGACAUGGAAGGAUAUUGAUCAGUAAAGAUAAUGAACAAGAAGAUGAGGUCCAUAGGGCCAAAAACAAGGACCACAACACAUAAAAAGAAGAAAAACCCAGAUGAAUGGACUAAAUAAAAGAUAAAUCUAAACCAAUAAAAGAAGAAGAAGGAAAAUGUAUCAAAAUCUCCACAUCCAUCCAUGCACAUACCUUUUCAGCCAUGGUUUUGUCGAAGCUUUGAUCUGGACCUGAUGAGAUGAUAGAAUUGAGAGCAGAGUGAAGGAACAGACCAGAGGGUGAGAGGGAGAUAUAGAGGCUUCUAAAAUUAAGAUUGAUCACAACUUAAGUAGUAGAAGUGUGAGACCAAAGUUUAAAUACCGUGCAUCUAGAGGCCAAUAAGAAGAGAACACAUGGGAUUGGGUGUUGAGCUUGACGUCAUAUUGUCGUUUUCUUUUUUAUUGCUGACCCUCCAAACCUGCGUAUGCAAGCGCUGGCUUUGAUGGACACAUCUCACCUUCAAUUUUGUUAAUCAUUUCGAAGGCUGUUGUGCAUCCUACGGUGCAUUAGUUCAGUCAUGUCAAUAAAUGAGCCAUGCAAACCCCAUGACAACCGUACACGUGUCCCAAAAAAAUUCACCAUAAAAAAUUAAAAAUCUUCAAUUAAUAUUUCCAUAUCUCAUGUUAAAAGAAUUUAGCCGGUGUUUGAUUGUUGUUUCCUGAUAAAAACAUAGAAAACUUGAAUUAUAAAUUUAUUUUAAAAUUAUUACAAAAAACAAUUUUAUUUUAUAUUCUUAUUUUUAUCCUCCGUUCUACACUAACAACACAUAAUUUGAAGAGGUAUUAUAAUUCUAAUUAACGAGCUCCUCUGUUUCAAAAUUUGGAUUUAUAAAGUAACAUAAGAACACAUAUCUCUUUAACAACUUGUCCAAAUUGGAUUAAUUUUUUAUGAUACAUGUAAGGUAAUUAGUUGUAUUUUUUAAUAAAAAGAUAAUUAGAACAAAAAUAAUUAAUAAGUUGUGAUAUUUGUAUUACUCUCUCUUGUAUUUAUAUUUUUUCUAAAAGUACAUCUUAUAAAAUAAUUAAUAAAUUAUUACUAAUUCCCAUCAUCACCAUGGAAUACUUCAUAUAAUCUAAACGACAAAAAUCUGUAUAAUUAUAUAUAUAAUGAUAUGAAAACCAGAAAUUAGAAACCCAAGUCGUUAAGCAAGUAGCUCACCGUUUUAUCUCAUCACUUUAACCAUAAAGGUGCUAGGACAUAAAGAAGAAAGUUAACAAAUUGUGGGCCCAGAAGUUGCGUCCAUGAGUGCCGACUUUGAAAGCUGAGGCAGGUUUAACUAAUCGUUUGAAAUUACGGUCAACUGUAUUUUUUAAAAUUUUAAUUUUUUAAUAUAUAUAUAUAUAUUUGAUUGUUUUGAUAUACUGGUACAAGAAUAAAUCUUGAAAAAUAAAAAUUAUAUGUUUUAUUUUAAUAUAUUUUCAAUAAUGUUAGUGUUUAGAGAGCAACUAAUAUAAAUUUCGUAGUCGGCAACUUUACAUAAUCUCAUAUCAACAAAUCAGGAGAAGGAAGGGAACUGCUCAUUCAUGGUAGAAUUCUUAUCGCCAAGUACGAUGAUGGGAUCAUGACAGUCCACAUUCCAUUAUCUAGAUGGAUCAUGCAUGACCUAAAUUUCUGACAGCGAAGCUUGAUAACGUUUACAAAACAAAAACCAUCGAUCAGUUACUGUCAGAAAUUAAAGAAAGCAAAUGGAAAGUGAAUGGAAGGGAGAUGCUGAGAUGCACCAUCACUGUAUAUACAAAUAGCAAUGAUUAUGGAAGCUUUAAAAUCUCCCUUAUAUUAAUUUAUUAAAAAUCUUAACAUCUCUUGUAAUAAAAUAUUGUGCCCACAUCACCAACCUUAUUGUAUCACAUAAAAUCUCUAAAACGAAGGAAGAAGACCCAAUAUGCAGCCAAAACUGACUAGCUAGACAAGGUUAUGACAUGAGCAUGAGCAAUGCUAUUGUUUAAUUUGAUCAUAUCGACACGAUACUACUGUCCAAAUCCAGUGAUUUUUGGUGGAAAUCGGCUUAAGGCAAUAUCGACAUUCUAGAUGCUUUCACAUGAUUGUGCAUGACGAGGGAUUAUCUUCACAGACAUAUUCACAUCUGCACACAUAGUAACCGCUUCUUUGGCAACCACAGCCGCCGCCGCCGCCGCCACCCCAAUUAUCAUACACUGGCCUUCCAUAAGCUUCAUAACUCGGGGGUGCUGGCCUACCAUAGUCAUGAUAACAUGGGCCUCCACUAAUCCCAUGGUAGCAUUCAGCACAACAUGUCCUUGGGGGGACUGGUUCCGGAGCUUUAGGUGGUGGUGGUGCCGGGUUUGGAGCUGGGUUUGGGGCCGGUUCUUUGGGUUUUGGUGUUUCAACAAUAAGCGCUUUAGGCUUCUCCGGUUCUUUGGGUUUCUCCGGUUCUUUGGGCUUCUCCGGUUCUUUGGGUUUCUCCGGUUCUUUGGGCUUCUCCGGUUCUUUGGGUUUCUCCGGUUCUUUGGGCUUCUCUGGUUCUUUGGGUUUCUCCGGUUCUUUGGGCUUCUCUGGUUGCUUAGGCUUCUCAGGUUCUUUCGGCUUCUCCGGUUCUUUGGGUUUCUCUGGUGCUGCUUUGGGAUUCUCUGGUGCUUUGGGUUUCUCUGGAACCUUGAUCUCAAUGCUCUUGACAGCUUCACCUCCUUUACAGACUAUCUUUUCCUUGAUCUUUUCAGGACUGCAACAUACCACAGUGAUGGUCACUGUGCCUGCCUUCUUGUCAUAUAUCUGGUUCUGAAUUUCUCUUGUUCACAAUCCACAAAAAUUAACCACUUAGCCACUUUCAUUUCAUCUUGAAACAGCUCAAACUAAGUUAUAAUACAUGGAGAAGCUAGGAGGCACUCACGAGGGAUUCUACACAGUACUUUCUUGAUUUUCUUGUGGCAUUUCUCGCAUUCAAGGUCAACCUUCAUCACCAUUAUUGUGACUUUCUGCAAUAGGAGCACAUAAAAACAAGGACAAAAUUUCUAAGCCAGGAAGAAUAUUGAAAGGACUGGAACACUUUCUGACAUGGAAGGAUAUUGAUCAGUAAAGAUAAUGAAAAAGAAGAUGAGGUCCGUAGGGCCAAAAACAAGGACCACCGCAUAAAAAGAAUAAAAACCCAGACGAAUGGGCUAAAUAAAAGAUAAAUCGAAACCAAGAAAAGAAGAAGAAGGAAAUAUAUCAAAAUCUCCACAUCCAUCCAUGCACAUACCUUUUCAGCCAUGGUUUUGUCCAAGCCUUGAUCUGAGCCUGAUGAGAUGAUAGAAUUGAGAGCAGAGUGAAGGAACGGACCAGAGGGUCAGAGGGAGAUUGAGAUACGAAAAGGAGGCUUAUAAAAUGAAGAUUGAUCACAACUUAAGUAGUAGAAGUGUGGGGACAUAGUUUAAAUACCGCGCAUCUAGUAGGCAAUAAGAAGAGAACACGUGGCAUUGGGUGUUGAGCUUGACGUAAUAUUGUCGUUUCAUUUUUAAUUGCUGACCCUCCGAUCAUGCACAUGCAUGUGCUGGCUUUGAUGGACACAUCUCACCUUCAAUUUUGUUAAUCAUUUCGAAGGUUGUAGUGCAUCCUACGGCGCAUUAGUUUAGUCAUGUCAAUAAAUGAGCCAUGCAACCCCCAUGACAACCGUACACGUGUCCCCAAAAAACUCCCCUCAUAAAAUUAAAAAUCUUCAAUUAAUAUUUCCAUAUCUCAUGUGUAAAAGAAUUUAGAAAACAUGAAUUAUUGUAUUUAUUAUUUUACCAUGAAUAUGAGAAAUGAGAAAUUAGAAACCCAAGUCGUAAAGCAAGUAGCUCAUCGUUUUAUCUUAUCCCUAUGUGUGGAUAUAAAGAAGAAAGUUAACAAAUUGUGGGCCCAGAAGUUGCGUCCAUGAGUGCCAACUUUGAAAGCUGAGGCAGGUUUAACUAACCGUUUGAAAUUGCGUUCAACUGCUUUUUAAAAAAAAACAUUUAUUUUUAAAUUUUUAUUUUAUAUAUCUUUAGAUUAUUUUACGAUGGCAUGAAGAAUAAAUUCAAAAAAAAAUUCAAAAAACAAUCCCAGCAAAAUCAUUAUUGCUUUCCAGAAUUGUUGAGAGGAAUCACAUGAAUCUAAUUUGAAGUUUGGGCCUCUACUCUGCAGGUCAUGAAAGUAGAGAAUCCAAGGAAAGCCAUGUGCCAGUCCAUUAUCUAUGUUUUCUGAAUGACAAACUGGGUUUCAUUAACACUGAGCUUAGCCCAUGUUUCACAGGGCAUAUUAAUCAGCCCAUCACUUCCAUGGCUAUACCAGGACUGGCUAAGAAGCCCGGAGGCUAAAACAGGCCUGCAAGCAACACAUAUUGCUUUGCUCCGGGUCAAAUAUUAUUCUUUCUAGUAGAAAGAAUGAAUAAAUAUGUUUUUUUUAUUAUGUUUUUUAAUUUAAAAAAUUCUUAUUUUAAACAAAAAAAAACUUUAUAUAUUCAUCCAAUUAAAUAAAUUGAAAAUUUGAUUGUAUAACCAUAGUUGAUGUAGAAUCUGGCUCGAACCAAGUUUUAUAUUAUUGGAGUGACUGUUCGCUCGAUUAACCUAGAUGAUGAGACUCAACUUGAUAAAUUACUUGGAUUUUUUAAAUGUGUAUUAAAAAUAACAUUUUUAGACUUUUUUUUAACCAAAACAAUAUCAUUUUAUGAUAUAUCUGGAUUGAUAUAUGAUAAACUUUCUAACCCAUUAAACAUUUAUUUACAACGUGAGAGAAUAGGAAUCCCAUAUAUUGACCCGAAGGAGAUGCUGAUUGAUAACGUUUACAAACAAAAGCCAUCGACCAGUUACUGUCAGAAAUUAAAGAAAGCAAAUAGAAAGUGAAUGGAAAGGAGAUGACCAUCACUAUAUAUAUACAAAUAGCAGUGAUUAUGGAAGCUUUAAAAUCCCUUAUAUUAAUUUAUUAAAAAUCUUAACAACUCUUGUAAUAAAAUAUUGUUCCCACAUGAUCACCAACCUUAUUGUAUCACAUAAAAUCUUUAUAACGAAGGAAGAAGACCCAAUAUGCAGCCAAAACUGACUAGCUAGACAAGGUUAUGACAUGAGCAUGGGUAAUGCUAUUGUUUAAUUUGAUCAUAUCGACACGAUACUACUGUCCAAAUCCAGUGAUUUUAGGUGGAGAUCGGCUUAAAGCAUCGACAUUCUUGAUGCUUUCACAUGAUUGUGCAUGACGAGGGAUUAUCUUCACAAACAUAUUCACAUCGGCACGCAUAGUAACCGCUUCUUUGGCAACCACAGCCGCCGCUGCCACCCCAACUAUCAUGCACUGGCCUUCCAUAAAUUUCAUA